Molecule: ribosomal RNA, 392 nt
Filed under: uncultured bacterium
Lineage: Bacteria
Description: bacterial SSU rRNA
Rfam family: Bacterial small subunit ribosomal RNA
Source: RNAcentral
AGCGAACGUUUGCGGCGGGCUUAACACAUGCAAGUCGAACGGGCUGUUCCUUCGGGGGCAGUCAGUGGCGCACGGGUGCGUAACACGUAGGUAAUCAACCCUCUGGUUGGGGAUAACACUUCGAAAGGAGUGCUAAUACCCGGUAUGGCGCAGCGGUCUUCGGAUCGCGGCGAGAAAGACCCGCAAGGGUUGCCAGAGGACGAGCCUGCGGCCCAUCAGCUAGUUGGCGAGGUAACGGCUCACCAAGGCGAAGACGGGUAGCUGGUCUGAGAGGAUGAUCAGCCACGCUGGAACUGAGACACGGUCCAGACUCCUACGGGAGGCAGCAGUGGGGAAUAUUGCGCAAUGGGCGAAAGCCUGACGCAGCCACGCCGCGUGAGCGAUGAAGGCCU